Molecule: long non-coding RNA, 1531 nt
Organism: Leopardus geoffroyi (Geoffroy's cat)
Lineage: Eukaryota; Metazoa; Chordata; Mammalia; Carnivora; Felidae
Exons: 2
Source: RefSeq, a predicted model, not a curated record
CAGCCGGGAUUCAGGUGCCUGUGGGCAGCUCCCCUUUCCUGCCUCUUGCCUUGCUUCACAACUGAUUGGCUGCAGAACGCCCCCCGCCUCACCUGGAAGUAUGCGGGGACAGGGAAGGCACCAGAGGGGCAGUGCCUUGACCCGUGAUUGGUCAAAUGCUCAUUGCCUGUCAGCUGAGGCAGGGUUAACUGCGUACUUCACGUACCAGCCUCCCCUGCCCGCCCCACACCCCCACCCCAGCCAACACACCAGAGAGAAUGGCCCACUGCUUUGCCCCACCAUUAAGUUGGUCGGAGCUAAGAGCCCAGCCAGCUGGCAUUCUACCCAGGAAGGGCUGUAGUGCUGACAGGCGACUAGCUCGAACGGCGCCAGUCCGAGAACACUACUGCCUCUCUCCUUCCACGAGCUCCGCUGCGGUUGCACUGCUGAUUGGCUGGCUCCACUCUCUUCUAAGUGGCUUAGCCUUGUGUUCGCUCAGGGACACAUCCAAUGAGGAGCGAGGGCGCUUUCAGGAGGCGGGCAUUGUUCGACCGGUUCCACUUCUGAUUGGUCCAGGGGCUUGCCUCUUCUCUUUUGAUUGAUCAGAGGGGCGGGAGGCGGGAGACCAGCUCAACGGUUUCAGGCGGCAGUUGGAGUUCUGUCCCUGUGCUUCAAAAGUUCAGCUUCAGGGCUCGGUGGAGUGUUGGCUGGCGCCUACUUCCCCGCAGCUAGCUGAGGAACUGGGGAGGGAACAAGGGGGCAGGAGGACCUGGGACUGUCGCUGCAGCUCCAAGUCGGGAUGGAGACCGACUGAGGCGAGUGACGGACCGGCGGGUGCAAACCCCUCAAAAAGCUGGAAGAGUCAGGUGCUGUAAUAGUAGUAACAGCAGCUCCCGCUCACCGAGCCCUUUUGGUGUACCGCUGUGUGUGCAUCAUCUCACUGACUCCUUCUAAAUAACCCUGUGAGGAAGCAGAUUACUCUGCCGGUUAACCUCCGAGGGUCAUUUGUCGCCCACAGCGAGAGCCGGCAUUGCUAGAACUCCGACCUUGUUCUAGAGAGUCCGGCAUUCGAGCUACACUAUGAUUAAGUAGGGUUGAUCUUAUAGAUGUGGGGUGGGGCCUGAUGUGAUCACCUUGGCCCUGGCUUACCUCGUCCAUACAUGAAGGUGUUUGGGUUUUGGUUUUGGACUAGGAUCUGAUCCUGAAGGCUUCACUCAGUACGUAUGCUCAAGUCCUCAAACUUUUAGAGAAUGGUUUAACCCUUCCUGGCAACGCUGCACGCCCUGCCACGUGAACAAACUUGGGCUGGCCUGCGGUAGACACAUGGCCCAGUUCAGAGCCAUUACCCCAGCCACCUACACCCACUGCCAGCCAGCCAUACAUGUGAGUGAAACCACCCCAGACCAAACAGCCCCCAGUCACCCCACUAGCUGACUGCAGCUGCGAGAGUCAGCCCAGGUGAGACCAACUGGAGAACUGAACUGCCUGGCUGGGUUCAGCCCAAAUGGUCCGGAAGAAUCAGGAGCUACAAAAUAAUAAUUAUUUUAAGCCA